This 343-nucleotide long non-coding RNA is filed under the name Vigna radiata. RNAcentral's name for it is "long non-coding RNA (VRAD_LNC013265)". The record is from RNAcentral. Lineage: Eukaryota; Viridiplantae; Streptophyta; Magnoliopsida; Fabales; Fabaceae.
AGGAAUUUUGAUCUCCAAUUUCUUAAAGAUCUCCAUAUAGCAUCCAAACUUCUUUUUUUUCCUAUGAUAUUUUUUUGAGUGAGGAAGAGAUUUUUCAUAUGAUCUUUUCUUUUUUCCUCUCUUCCUCUUUUUCUUUUCUCUAAUUUUUUUUUCUUUUCUUACUUUUUUUCUUUUUUUCUUUUUUUUUCGUUCAACAACUUCUUUUUCUUUCUCCUCAUCUUUCUCUUCCUCACUCAACCUUUUUGCUUCAUCUUCUUCUAUGUUUUCCUCUUCUAUCUUUUUCACUUCUCUCUCCACCUUUUCCUUAUCAACAACCUCAUCAAUUUGUGUCUCCAAAUUCCUG